GGUCGCUGCCGCCUAUGUAAUUUGCCAUGUGGUCGUGAUGGUUAUUUGCCCGAUUAUAACGAUUGCCCUAUAUGUCUAUGUAGAAGAUUAUACAAAUCCAGUCGCUGUAAACCAAUGGGGCGAUUUUGCUUACCAAAAUGCCAAAAAUAUAUUAACCAAUGUCCGCAUUGCGUCUGCUAAAAAGAAAG
Gordionus sp. m RMFG-2023 is the source of this 188-nucleotide long non-coding RNA. RefSeq lists it as uncharacterized. NCBI's taxonomy places the organism in Eukaryota, Metazoa, Nematomorpha, Gordioida, Chordodea, Parachordodidae. The record is from RefSeq and is a predicted model, not a curated record. The transcript has 2 exons.